This is a long non-coding RNA of Centrocercus urophasianus (Greater sage-grouse), 1278 nucleotides long. RefSeq lists it as uncharacterized. Lineage: Eukaryota; Metazoa; Chordata; Aves; Galliformes; Phasianidae. The transcript is spliced from 5 exons. The record is from RefSeq and is a predicted model, not a curated record.
GCCUUGCAUAGGAGCUGAGGAGGCACGAGAGGGUCGGCACCCUCCAGUUCCUGGGAGGUCCCAAAUGUCCUUGGGCAACGGAGGGGGUGACAGUGGAUGUGGGGGGCUGGGAGCAGCAGGCUUUGCCUGAGCUCGGGAUUGGAGUAGCUCAGUUCCCGAUGAGAGCACAGCACAUCCAUUCCUACUGUCCUGCUUUCUUUCUAAAGGAGCUGACCAAGAAGCUAAGCAGGAUGCACUGCAGGAAGGCAGCCGUCCCACACUGCUGGUCUCGGACAUUGGAACGCAGGCAGCACCAACAACUGGCAUGCCAGGUAGGAUACCACCGUCUUUACAGUGCAAUCAAAUGAGAAUGUGACAGAGACUCUGAAAUCAGUAAAACAAAACACUGAGGCUGAAGAAACUCCACCUGGGGAAGUCAAGGUCGAGGAAACCCCUGCUGCUGCUGUUGUGGGAAAGGAGGCCAUCCCUGCUGAGCCAGAUGAGCCAACAGAGCAGGCUGCGGCACCCACUGCAUGUGCAGCUGAGUGUGGACCUGGAGGAAAGUGAUUCUGCAAAAGCCGAUGAGCUUUGUGACCCACCUCUUUGAACAAUCCCCUGCCGUGUGUUUCAGCCCAACGUGUGUGGAAGAAGUGUUCCAGAAAGUUUUCCUGCAAACUGGAGGCUGCUUGACAGGCAUUAAGGAAUCUGAGUGGCUUCGGCACAGAGAUGCAAAUGGUUAGAAAGGACUUUUCCCAGAGAACUUCACACGCCGUCUGGAACAGUUCUUCUCACAGGCACACGAAUGUGGUUUGAAGCUCAGUCAGUGGGUUCUUCACCUCCUUGAAACACAGGAGCCCCCUUUUUUUGUAGUUCAGGCUGUUAACGGUUUACAGAUUGGUGCCAGACAAAGCUUGUUGGGCAUAUCAAAAUGAGCAUGAGUGCAAGCAGUUAAGCUACCCAUUUCUGAAGCAGUGCAUGAAAAAACAAACAAACAAACACAAACAGAAAUGUCCUCAUUUGUUCACGUGCAUGUGGCAACAGGUUUGUUUGUGCUGUGCCAGAGCUGUGGUGAUCCUGUGUUUGGUCCUUUCCCAUGAAAUCCAAAAUUAGCCUCCUUGAUACCAAAACCUGAACUUCUCUGCACUAAGUGUGUUGUAUUGAGUUGCACUGCAGAAAACUUAAUUAGUAAUCCUGUAGUAAUGAGGUCAAACUACUACAAGUUUCACGUGUUUAAAAAAUAUAAUUAACUGCUGCAGAGUCAGCCCAAAUGAUGUUCAAUUAAGGCACAGAGCGUCAGAG